This 2921-nucleotide ribosomal RNA is filed under the name Staphylococcus aureus M70013. RNAcentral describes it as "bacterial LSU rRNA". It matches the Rfam family "Bacterial large subunit ribosomal RNA". The record is from RNAcentral. Lineage: Bacteria; Bacillati; Bacillota; Bacilli; Caryophanales; Staphylococcaceae.
UUAAGUUAUUAAGGGCGCACGGUGGAUGCCUUGGCACUAGAAGCCGAUGAAGGACGUUACUAACGACGAUAUGCUUUGGGGAGCUGUAAGUAAGCUUUGAUCCAGAGAUUUCCGAAUGGGGAAACCCAGCAUGAGUUAUGUCAUGUUAUCGAUAUGUGAAUACAUAGCAUAUCAGAAGGCACACCCGGAGAACUGAAACAUCUUAGUACCCGGAGGAAGAGAAAGAAAAUUCGAUUCCCUUAGUAGCGGCGAGCGAAACGGGAAGAGCCCAAACCAACAAGCUUGCUUGUUGGGGUUGUAGGACACUCUAUACGGAGUUACAAAGGACGACAUUAGACGAAUCAUCUGGAAAGAUGAAUCAAAGAAGGUAAUAAUCCUGUAGUCGAAAAUGUUGUCUCUCUUGAGUGGAUCCUGAGUACGACGGAGCACGUGAAAUUCCGUCGGAAUCUGGGAGGACCAUCUCCUAAGGCUAAAUACUCUCUAGUGACCGAUAGUGAACCAGUACCGUGAGGGAAAGGUGAAAAGCACCCCGGAAGGGGAGUGAAAUAGAACCUGAAACCGUGUGCUUACAAGUAGUCAGAGCCCGUUAAUGGGUGAUGGCGUGCCUUUUGUAGAAUGAACCGGCGAGUUACGAUUUGAUGCAAGGUUAAGCAGUAAAUGUGGAGCCGUAGCGAAAGCGAGUCUGAAUAGGGCGUUUAGUAUUUGGUCGUAGACCCGAAACCAGGUGAUCUACCCUUGGUCAGGUUGAAGUUCAGGUAACACUGAAUGGAGGACCGAACCGACUUACGUUGAAAAGUGAGCGGAUGAACUGAGGGUAGCGGAGAAAUUCCAAUCGAACCUGGAGAUAGCUGGUUCUCUCCGAAAUAGCUUUAGGGCUAGCCUCAAGUGAUGAUUAUUGGAGGUAGAGCACUGUUUGGACGAGGGGCCCCUCUCGGGUUACCGAAUUCAGACAAACUCCGAAUGCCAAUUAAUUUAACUUGGGAGUCAGAACAUGGGUGAUAAGGUCCGUGUUCGAAAGGGAAACAGCCCAGACCACCAGCUAAGGUCCCAAAAUAUAUGUUAAGUGGAAAAGGAUGUGGCGUUGCCCAGACAACUAGGAUGUUGGCUUAGAAGCAGCCAUCAUUUAAAGAGUGCGUAAUAGCUCACUAGUCGAGUGACACUGCGCCGAAAAUGUACCGGGGCUAAACAUAUUACCGAAGCUGUGGAUUGUCCUUUGGACAAUGGUAGGAGAGCGUUCUAAGGGCGUUGAAGCAUGAUCGUAAGGACAUGUGGAGCGCUUAGAAGUGAGAAUGCCGGUGUGAGUAGCGAAAGACGGGUGAGAAUCCCGUCCACCGAUUGACUAAGGUUUCCAGAGGAAGGCUCGUCCGCUCUGGGUUAGUCGGGUCCUAAGCUGAGGCCGACAGGCGUAGGCGAUGGAUAACAGGUUGAUAUUCCUGUACCACCUAUAAUCGUUUUAAUCGAUGGGGGGACGCAGUAGGAUAGGCGAAGCGUGCGAUUGGAUUGCACGUCUAAGCAAUAAGGCUGAGUAUUAGGCAAAUCCGGUACUCGUUAAGGCUGAGCUGUGAUGGGGAGAAGACAUUGUGUCUUCGAGUCGUUGAUUUCACACUGCCGAGAAAAGCCUCUAGAUAGAAAAUAGGUGCCCGUACCGCAAACCGACACAGGUAGUCAAGAUGAGAAUUCUAAGGUGAGCGAGCGAACUCUCGUUAAGGAACUCGGCAAAAUGACCCCGUAACUUCGGGAGAAGGGGUGCUCUUUAGGGUUAACGCCCAGAAGAGCCGCAGUGAAUAGGCCCAAGCGACUGUUUAUCAAAAACACAGGUCUCUGCUAAACCGUAAGGUGAUGUAUAGGGGCUGACGCCUGCCCGGUGCUGGAAGGUUAAGAGGAGUGGUUAGCUUCUGCGAAGCUACGAAUCGAAGCCCCAGUAAACGGCGGCCGUAACUAUAACGGUCCUAAGGUAGCGAAAUUCCUUGUCGGGUAAGUUCCGACCCGCACGAAAGGCGUAACGAUUUGGGCACUGUCUCAACGAGAGACUCGGUGAAAUCAUAGUACCUGUGAAGAUGCAGGUUACCCGCGACAGGACGGAAAGACCCCGUGGAGCUUUACUGUAGCCUGAUAUUGAAAUUCGGCACAGCUUGUACAGGAUAGGUAGGAGCCUUUGAAACGUGAGCGCUAGCUUACGUGGAGGCGCUGGUGGGAUACUACCCUAGCUGUGUUGGCUUUCUAACCCGCACCACUUAUCGUGGUGGGAGACAGUGUCAAGCGGGCAGUUUGACUGGGGCGGUCGCCUCCUAAAAGGUAACGGAGGCGCUCAAAGGUUCCCUCAGAAUGGUUGGAAAUCAUUCAUAGAGUGUAAAGGCAUAAGGGAGCUUGACUGCGAGACCUACAAGUCGAGCAGGGUCGAAAGACGGACUUAGUGAUCCGGUGGUUCCGCAUGGAAGGGCCAUCGCUCAACGGAUAAAAGCUACCCCGGGGAUAACAGGCUUAUCUCCCCCAAGAGUUCACAUCGACGGGGAGGUUUGGCACCUCGAUGUCGGCUCAUCGCAUCCUGGGGCUGUAGUCGGUCCCAAGGGUUGGGCUGUUCGCCCAUUAAAGCGGUACGCGAGCUGGGUUCAGAACGUCGUGAGACAGUUCGGUCCCUAUCCGUCGUGGGCGUAGGAAAUUUGAGAGGAGCUGUCCUUAGUACGAGAGGACCGGGAUGGACAUACCUCUGGUGUACCAGUUGUCGUGCCAACGGCAUAGCUGGGUAGCUAUGUGUGGACGGGAUAAGUGCUGAAAGCAUCUAAGCAUGAAGCCCCCCUCAAGAUGAGAUUUCCCAACUUCGGUUAUAAGAUCCCUCAAAGAUGAUGAGGUUAAUAGGUUCGAGGUGGAAGCAUGGUGACAUGUGGAGCUGACGAAUACUAAUCGAUCGAAGACUUAAUCAA